AUUGAACGCUGGCGGCAGGCCUAACACAUGCAAGUCGAACGGUAACAGGGAUCAGCUUGCUGAUUCGCUGACGAGUGGCGGACGGGUGAGUAAUGUCUGGGAAACUGCCUGAUGGAGGGGGAUAACUACUGGAAACGGUAGCUAAUACCGCAUAACGUCGCAAGACCAAAGAGGGGGACCUUCUGGCCUCUUGCCAUCGGGUGUGCCCAGAUGGGAUUAGCUAGUAGGUGGGGUAACGGCUCACCUAGGCGACGAUCCCUAGCUGGUCUGAGAGGAUGACCAGCCACACUGGAACUGAGACACGGUCCAGACUCCUACGGGAGGCAGCAGUGGGGAAUAUUGCACAAUGGGCGCAAGCCUGAUGCAGCCAUGCCGCGUGUAUGAAGAAGGCCUUCGGGUUGUAAAGUACUUUCAGCGGGGAGGAAGGGAGUAAAGUUAAUACCUUUGCUCAUUGACGUUACCCGCAGAAGAAGCACCGGCUAACUCCGUG
This 490-nucleotide ribosomal RNA is filed under the name uncultured bacterium. Its description in RNAcentral is "partial 16S ribosomal RNA". It matches the Rfam family "Bacterial small subunit ribosomal RNA", at positions 30 to 507 of the family's 1533-position model. The record is from RNAcentral.